AUAGUCCAAUUAAAGAUAAAAACUUAGUAUAUGCUCAAGUUUCAAUUGACCUCUUUUUCCAACCUUGAUACCUAUCUUCCAAUGCUAGAAUCUCUCUUUUGCACCCUUCAAUUUCUCUUAAAUUUUGUAAAAUUAUUGAAAUUCAACUUUUAUACAACUUAAAUCGCCUAAAAUCAAUAUCUAAGCAAAUCCUAAUAAGUUUGUCCUCAAUUUCUGCUCUUUCAUCAAAAAAAAAUAUCUAAUAUUAUCCUAAGUGCAUGGUUUCAUACCUUGAAAUCUGAUUUUGAUCUAAGUUCACAACUUGUCCUCUAAAAGUAUUAACAUUUAGUUUUUUAAGGUAAUUUUAGAUAAAAGAUAUUAGUUACUUUUAUUUAAAUAUACCCAUUGAUACUAAUAUUUUUAAUCUACCUUUUUUAUCUUUUUUUUGAUCCUACAAAGUAAAUAAAAUCCUUAAUUUUAAAAAAAAAAAAAAAAAAAAAAAAAAAAAAAAAUGACAUUACAACUUAUUAAUUUUACUACAUCUAUAACUAUUAUCUAUAAAACCUAAUAAAAUCCUAAAUCGAUCCUAACCAAAUCCUAACCAAACCUUAAUAAAAUCCUAAAUCAAUCCUAAUCAAACUCUAAUGUAAUCCUAAUGAAAUCCUAAAUAUAUUUU
RNAcentral lists this long non-coding RNA (655 nucleotides) under Physcomitrium patens. Its description in RNAcentral is "long non-coding RNA (PPAT_LNC001407)". Lineage: Eukaryota; Viridiplantae; Streptophyta; Bryopsida; Funariales; Funariaceae. The record is from RNAcentral.